CGCGUAGGCGGGCUGCCAAGUCAGGGGUGAAAACUUUCGCUCAACCGGAAAACGUAGCUUCUGAUACUGGCAGUCUCGAGGGAGGUAGGGGUCGGUGGAACUAAUGGUGGAGCGGUGAAAUGCGUAGAUAUCAUUAGGAACGCCGGUGGCGAAAGCGACCGACUGGACCUCUUCUGACGCUGAGGCGCGAAAGCCAGGGGAGAGAACG
This 208-nucleotide ribosomal RNA is filed under the name uncultured bacterium. Its description in RNAcentral is "partial 16S ribosomal RNA". It matches the Rfam family "Bacterial small subunit ribosomal RNA", at positions 568 to 774 of the family's 1533-position model. The record is from RNAcentral.